This 522-nucleotide long non-coding RNA is filed under the name Androctonus crassicauda. Lineage: Eukaryota; Metazoa; Arthropoda; Arachnida; Scorpiones; Buthidae. The record is from RNAcentral.
AACAGUUUUUAGAACAAAAAUCAAAAGUGGUUACUAUGGAUACAAAUAAAUAAAAAUAAUACAUAAAUACCAUAAAAUAACGAAGAUAAAACAAAAAAACUAAACAUGGUGGCCUGUAGGGUUGCAAUAGAGGCCUUUUUACGUAGGUAAGGCGUAAAAAAUGAACUUGGGAGCGCGGACGCUCUGGUGCUGGGUGUUGGCUCUACUGGGGAGGUGCCUCCAAGAGGCUGGUGGUUCCUGUGCUGGGUGGUUGUUUGGGAGACGUUCCUGGUUCUGUCUUCUAAAGAUUUCUAUAGCUUUUACUUUUACUUCAAAAGAGCUACUGCCUACACCACUAACCAUGAAGAUUUACAAUUGGAACUUGAAUACAUCUAUAGUACUGGCAGGCUAUAUGGUUACAGUAAAAGCUUUUUGAAUGCUAUUUAUCGUAAGGUACUUAAAGAUGCUAAUAUGCAAAAGGAGAAGUUACCGACGAGUAGCGAAUAUGAGUCAUUGCCAUUUGCUAUGAGUAAAUAUAAAACU